CGGUGGGCGUGUCCCACGGUCGCUAGGCGGGGCGCGUGGCCUGGGCGGAGCGAACGGUGUCAGCGGCGGAGCCGGAUGCGGGCGGUACUGCUGCCGCCGCCGCGGCCCUAGGGAUGGGCGGAGCCCCGGCCGCUGGUGCUGGUGGCCGCCGCCGCUGCCGGAACCUGAGCCGGAGCCGCCGCCUCUGCUGUCGCCGCGCUUCGGCUUCGUUGCUUCGCAAGGCGGCGGGAUGCUGGGGAAAGGGGGAGUCGGCGGUGGCGGCGGCACCAAGGCGCCCAAGCCCUCCUUCGUGUCGUACGUACGCCCUGAGGAAAUUCACACAGAUGAAAAGGAAGUAACAGAGAAGGAAGUCACUCUUCACUUGUUGCCAGGUGAACAGCUGCUUUGUGAAGCCAGCACAGUCCUGAAGUAUGUGCAGGAAGAUUCGUGUCAGCGCGGCGUCUAUGGGAGACUCGUGUGCACUGACUUCAAGAUUUCCUUCCUGGGGGACGAGGACUCGGCCCUGGAUAAUGGCGGGGAAGCUCAGUUUAAGAAUAAGAUCAUAGGAGUAAAUGACGUGCCACUGCACUGUGUGGAUCAGAUUUAUGGAGUGUUUGAUGAGAAAAAGAAACCUCUGUUUGGACAACUGAAGAAGUACCCCGAGAAGCUCGUUAUCCAUUGCAAAGACCUGCGGGUGCUCCACUUCUGUCUGAGGUACACAAAGGAGGAGGAAGUCAAAAGGAUCGUCAGUGGCAUAAUCCAUCAUACCCAGAGCCCCAAACUGCUGAAAAGACUGUUUCUGUUCUCCUACGCCGCUGCUGUGCACGGCACUGCCACUGAUUCCAGGAACUGUACUGUAAUGUUUGACACUCCGAAAGACUGGUGUUGGGAGCUGGAGCGGACCAAGGGUAGUGUGAAGUACAGAACAGUGAGUGUGAAUGAAGGCUACCGAGUCUCUGACAGGUUGCCAGCAUACUUCGUUGUCCCCACUCCCCUUCCGGAAGACGAUGUGAGGCGUUUUCAGGGCCAUGGUAUACCAAUCUGGUGUUGGUCCUGUCACAAUGGAAGUGCCCUUUUGAAAAUGUCAGCACUGCCCAAAGAACAGGAUGACGGUGCUUUGCAAGUUCAGAAGAGCUUCUUGGAUGGAAUUUACAAGACUAUCCACAGGCCACCCUACGAGAUGGUUAAAACUGAAGACUUAUCAAGCAACUUCCUGUCCCUGCAGGAGAUCCAGAGUGCAUACUGUAAAUUUAAGCAACUGUUUCUGAUAGAUAACAGUUCGGAAUUUUGGGACACAGACAUAAAAUGGUUUUCUCUCUUAGAAAGCAGCAGCUGGCUUGAUAUAAUCAGACGCUGCCUGAAGAAAGCAAUCGAGAUUACGGAAUGCCUGGAAGCGCAGAACGUGAACGUCCUCCUGUUGGAAGAGAAUGCUUCUGAUCUCUGCUGCCUCCUCUCCUCUCUGGUGCAAGUGAUGAUGGACGCCCACUGUCGAACCAGGACUGGAUUCCAGAGCCUCAUCCAAAAGGAAUGGGUCAUGGGUGGCCACUCUUUCUUGGACCGCUGUAACCAUCUCCACCAGAGUGACAAAGAGGAGGUCCCUAUCUUCCUGCUUUUCUUGGACUGCGUCUGGCAGCUGGUGCACCAGUAUCCCCCAGCAUUUGAGUUCACAGAGACAUACCUGACUGUUUUGUCAGAUAGCCUGUAUAUACCUAUUUUUAGCACCUUCUUCUUCAAUUCACCUCAUCAAAAAGAUACUAACAUGGGAAAACCUGGAUGCACAAAGCAAGCCUUUGACUCUGCUCACCGUGUGGGACUGGUCAGUACAGUUUGAACCCAAAGCACAGACGUUACUUAGAAACCCUCUCUAUGUGGAAAAGCCAAAACUGGACAGAGGCCAGCAGAAAGGAUCACGUUUCAAACAUCAACGACAACUUUCUUUGCCACUUACCCAGUCUAAGUCAUCUCCCAAAAGAGGAUUUUUCAGGGAAGAAACAGAUCAUUUAAUCAAGAACCUCCUAGGCAAGAGAAUUAGUAAACUUAUUAACUCUUCCGAUGACCUCCAGGACAGCUCAAGGGAGUUCUACGACAGCUGGCAUAGCAAGCCCACAGACUACCACGGCCUGUUGUUGCCUCACAUUGAGGGGCCGGAAAUCAAGGUGUGGGCUCAGCGCUAUUUACGUUGGAUUCCAGAAGCCCAAAUCCUGGGUGGUGGCAGAGUGGCCACCAUGGGCAAACUCUUAGAGAUGAUGGAGGAAGUGCAGAGCUUGCAGGAGAAGAUAGAGGCAAGACACCACAGGCAGGAGGCUGUCCAUGCAGAGGCACCCGGCCUGCUCAGGAACUCAGUCCGCCUGUCUUCCUUGUUCCCCUUUGCACUGCUCCAGCGACAUUCGGCCAAGCCUGUCUUACCCACCAGUGGCUGGAAAGCUUUAGGAGGCGAAGAUGACCUGGCCAAACGAGAAGAUGAGUUUGUGGACCUAGGGGACGUGUGACCUGUCUCCUCAGGGACUGUGAAAGAGGCACACUGUAUGGUGGGACAGUUGUUCCCUGGACUGGUGUCACGGUGUUAGCCCAGUGGUGUGAAGGAAAGAGCAGAGGCUUUUGGGAAGAGAGCUUGUUCUCCUUUUCUUCCACAGUUCUGGAAGACAUUCAAUGAAAGCCAUGCCUCUAGUAUGCAUAGGACGGAGUUCCUCCUUGACCUGUCAUAGGAUGGGGUCGUCUCCUGACAUCUGUAUUAUAUGUAUACAGAAUGGCUCACGGCCAGGCUGCUGUGAGAGCUCCCUCCUGUUGUUUCUGUGCCAAGAUAAUUAUGUAGCCAUUCCGAACAAGAGGUAUUCAGGGAUGUGCUUAGACCAUAGCAUAUUCCUUGACUUAAACCAUAGCAUAUUCCAAUGCGUGCGUGUACACACACACACACACACACACACACACACACACACACACACGCAGCCCAUAGAGAACUUGGACAGUUCUGCUGGUGUCAUCCAUCCUAAUGUUCAGCCCCUCCUUCCUGGGCUGUAACAACACAGGAUGCGGGCAGCCUCCUUCCCUUUUCCUUUGCUGUCACUCCCACCUUCCCUUUUCCUGCUCUAUGCAUACCAUCCUAUGAGUCUACCUUGGUGUGCAUCGUCCCAGGGUCCUGCUGCUGUGACCUGUUGAUUAAACUGGGGGCAGUCCUCUGUCUUCCACAGGGGAGCUCAUUCCUGGAGCCCUCAGUUUUGACCACACAUUUGGCCCUCUGCUCACCACACCUGGACUGUGCCUCUCUGCAGCCCCUCAGCUGGUCCCCUUGCCUUCCCCGUUACCCUCACAGAUGCUGGGGUGGGCAGGCCAAUUCGAAUGUGGCUUUCACAGGAAAGCGGUCGUGUCAGAAGCAGUUAUCACUCAUAUAUGCCUCAGCGAUGUCAAAAGCCAUAGAAGAAACCCAGCUCUGCCUAGUCACCUUGGAUCUGCUGUCUUAAAGAUAUAUAUUUUUUUAAUGUUUGAAAGAAUCCUUUGUAAGGCUCAGUCCUAUCAUUCUCAACAGAGCCCUGUUCAGUCCCACAAACGGUGUGAAGAGUGGGAGUGGGCGAGGGACCUCAUUGAGUCUGCCUCAAGUGUUUGCCUUUUAUCUAUAUUUGCUGGUCAGGAGAGGUCCUGUUGAGGGCGUCUCUGUUGCUCAUGGGCAAUAAGACAUUUUGAAACUUCACAAAGAAUCCUUUCUGAUUGCACUGAAUCAUCUUUCAUACAUAAUGAUAAUUUUUCCUCGUCUCCCUCCAUAAUAAUGCACAAUCCGGGUUGGUGUGUUGACCCAGCAAGUUGAGGGGAGGUCAGGAUUUGUGUUUCUGGGGACAAAUGCACUCAGUCUCGGUUGCCUUAAGAGUCUUUCAGGCCAGGUUCGUGCUAGGCUUGCGCUAGGAACUUAGAACACACCAGUCCUUAGCUCCCUCUCCCUGGGCUCCUUGGGCUUCUCUAAACUAGCACUAACCGCCACGCCCUGAGCCUCUGCCACACCCUCAGCCUCUGCCUCCCAAGUCCUCAGCGGAGAGAACUAUUUUUGUUACCAUAUUAUAACGUGAAUGUUUAUAUGGUAGACUCUACAGUCUUAGUGAUUUUCUUUCCAAAAAAUGCCUCUUGUGAUGUUUUGUACUUCACAACGUAUGGUUUAAAGGCACAUGGUCAUGACCCUUGGUAUAGCAGUUGAAUGUGCAUUAAAAUAUUUUUCUAUUUUUUUAAAUCACAAUAGAAAAAGUAAAUAAGCUGUUAUGACCUGUGUGGUUAUGACUUAUGUAUUUAUAUUUGAAGCCAGAUUUCUAUAACUUGGAUUUGUGUACAGAACUUCCCGUGGGUUUAUAUAUUGUGUAUUUUUAUUCAAGAUUGAGAUGUGGAUUAUGCUUAACAUUAAAAGAUACAAUAAGACCAUUUGUUUAAAACACACUGUGCAAGUUUGGAAGUGUCUGUUAAUAAUUUACUGUGUAUAACACUUGCAUUUGUUUAUACCUCUAUGUUUUUACACUGAAGAUAAACUAGCUUUAAUUAAAUUUUAAAAAUUUAAGGGAUUAAGCUAUUAGACUGAGUCAGCUUCACUGUGCAGUUUAUUUUCUGGGUGUUAAUGAAAGUUUAUACAUGUCUCACUGCAUUGGAGCUGACUGCAGAGAUUAAAGCACAACUUUGAAACAGC
RNA transcript from Mus musculus (house mouse), 4636 nucleotides. It is a transcript of the gene named myotubularin related protein 12, with no coding region annotated. The transcript has 16 exons. The record is from RefSeq and is marked validated. Lineage: Eukaryota; Metazoa; Chordata; Mammalia; Rodentia; Muridae.